AGUGGCGAAAGGGGCAGUAAUGCGUGGGUAACCUACCCUGGGGACGGGGAUAGCCUUCCUAACGGAAGGGUAAUACCUGGCGAUUCGGCGAAGGGACAUCCCUAUGCCGGGAAAUGAGUUUCGCCUCGGGAGGGGCUCAUGUGAUAUUAGCUAGUUGGUGAGGUAACGGCUCACCAAGGCGAAGAUGUCUAGCGGGUGUGAGAGCACGACCCGCGCCACUGGCACUGAGACACUGGCCAGACACCUACGGGUGGCUGCAGUCGAGGAUCUUCGGCAAUGGGCGCAAGCCUGACCGAGCGACGCCGCGUGUGCGAUGAAGGCCUUCGGGUUGUAAAGCACUGUCGAGGGGGAGGAAGCCGCAAGGUUGACCUAUCCCUGGAGGAAGCACGGGCUAAGUUCGUGCCAGCAGCCGCGGUAAGACGAACCGUGCGAACGUUGUUCGGAAUCACUGGGCUUAAAGGGCGCGUAGGCGGGUUUUCAAGUCUGUGGUGAAAUCCUCCAGCUUAACUGGAGAAGUGCCGUGGAUACUGGAGACCUCGAGGAGGGUAGGGGCAUCUGGAACAGCCGGUGGAGCGGUGAAAUGCGUUGAUAUCGGCUGGAACUCCGAUGGCGAAGGCAAGGUGCUGGACCCUUUCUGACGCUGAGUGCGCGAAAGCCAGGGGAGCGAACGGGAUUAGAUACCCCGGUAGUCCUGGCCCUAAACGAUGAGGACUAGGUAGUGGACUUACAUGGGUUCACUGUCGAAGCAAAAGUGCUAAGUACCCCGCCUGGGGAGUAUGGUCGCAAGGCUGAAACUCAAAGGAAUUGACGGGGGCUCACACAAGCGGUGGAGCAUGUGGCUUAAUUCGAGGCUACGCGAAGAACCUUAUCCUGGGCUUGACAUGUGCGAAAGCGGCAGGAGGUACCCAGCGGAAACGUUUGGGGAACGGUAUCCAAUCCGGAACCUGCUACAGGUGCUGCAUGGCUGUCGUUAGCUCGUGUCGUGAGAUGUCGGGUUAAGUCCCAUAACGAGCGAAACCCUUGCUCCUAGUUGCCAGCGCGUCAUGGCGGGGACUCUAGGAGGACUGCCGGUGUCAAACCGGAGGAAGGCGGGGAUGACGUCAAGUCCUCAUGGCCUUUAUGCCCAGGGCUGCACACGUGCUACAAUGCGGCGUACAAAGGGAUGCGAGACCGCAAGGUGGAGCCAAUCCCAAAAAACGUCGCUCAGUUCAGAUCGAAGGCUGCAACUCGCCUUCGUGAAGCUGGAAUCGCUAGUAAUCGCGGAUCAGCAAUGCCGCGGUGAAUGUGUUCCUGAGCCUUGUACACACCGCCCGUCAAGCCACGAAAGGGAGGAGCGCCCGAAGUCGCCGCACCAAGCCGGCGCCGAAGGCGAGACUCCUGAUUGGGACUAAGUCGUAACAAGGUAACCGUA
Molecule: ribosomal RNA, 1411 nt
Filed under: uncultured bacterium
Lineage: Bacteria
Description: 16S ribosomal RNA
Rfam family: Bacterial small subunit ribosomal RNA
Source: RNAcentral